GACGAACGCUGGCGGCGUGCCUAAUACAUGCAAGUCGAGCGGACCAAAGGGAGCUUGCUCCUGGAGGUUAGCGGCGAACGGGUGAGUAACACGUGGGCAACCUGCCUGUAAGACUGGGAUAACAUCGAGAAAUCGGUGCUAAUACCGGAUAAUAAAAGAACUGCAUGGUUCUUUUUGAAAGAUGGUUUCGGCUAUCACUUACAGAUGGGCCGCGGCGCAUUAGCUAGUUGGUGAGGUAACGGCUCACCAAGGCGACGAUGCGUAGCCGACCUGAGAGGGUGAUCGGCCACACUGGGACUGAGACACGGCCCAGACUCCUACGGGAGGCAGCAGUAGGGAAUCUUCCGCAAUGGACGAAAGUCUGACGGAGCAACGCCGCGUGAGUGAUGAAGGUUUUCGGAUCGUAAAACUCUGUUGUUAGGGAAGAACAAGUGCCGUUCGAAAGGGCGGCACCUUGACGGUACCUAACGAGAAAGCCACGGCUAACUACGUGCCAGCAGCCGCGGU
Molecule: ribosomal RNA, 507 nt
Filed under: uncultured bacterium
Lineage: Bacteria
Description: bacterial SSU rRNA
Rfam family: Bacterial small subunit ribosomal RNA
Source: RNAcentral